AUACAUCUAGAUCCAUACCCCUAAACUCCCUAGAUGUUUUUUUGGAUAGCGAUUAUCGCUGUCCUUUUUUA
RNAcentral lists this small RNA (71 nucleotides) under Heyndrickxia sporothermodurans. RNAcentral's name for it is "Bacillus sporothermodurans Listeria sRNA sbrA". It matches the Rfam family "Listeria sRNA sbrA". The record is from Rfam by way of RNAcentral. Lineage: Bacteria; Bacillati; Bacillota; Bacilli; Caryophanales; Bacillaceae.